CCAAUUAAUUUAACUUGGGAGUCAGAACAUGGGUGAUAAGGUCCGUGUUCGAAAGGGAAACAGCCCAGACCACCAGCUAAGGUCCCAAAAUAUAUGUUAAGUGGAAAAGGAUGUGGCGUUGCCCAGACAACUAGGAUGUUGGCUUAGAAGCAGCCAUCAUUUAAAGAGUGCGUAAUAGCUCACUAGUCGAGUGACACUGCGCCGAAAAUGUACCGGGGCUAAACAUAUUACCGAAGCUGUGGAUUGUCCUUUGGACAAUGGUAGGAGAGCGUUCUAAGGGCGUUGAAGCAUGAUCGUAAGGACAUGUGGAGCGCUUAGAAGUGAGAAUGCCGGUGUGAGUAGCGAAAGACGGGUGAGAAUCCCGUCCACCGAUUGACUAAGGUUUCCAGAGGAAGGCUCGUCCGCUCUGGGUUAGUCGGGUCCUAAGCUGAGGCCGACAGGCGUAGGCGAUGGAUAACAGGUUGAUAUUCCUGUACCACCUAUAAUCGUUUUA
Molecule: ribosomal RNA, 493 nt
Filed under: Staphylococcus aureus
Lineage: Bacteria; Bacillati; Bacillota; Bacilli; Caryophanales; Staphylococcaceae
Description: partial 23S ribosomal RNA
Rfam family: Bacterial large subunit ribosomal RNA
Source: RNAcentral